GUCUUGGGCUUUGGCGCAGGGGUUUCUGGGAGUUGCGAGUCGUCAUGGUGUCUGCGUGAAGUGCGGCGUCGCUGCGUGGCACCUCGGCCAACUGUAAAAGAUGACAUCAGCUAGGCCAACUUUUGAACUUGCAAGAGGCGGAAGAGGAAAAGGAGAAGGUGAUUUGAGCCAACUCUCAAAGCAGUAUUCAAGUAGAGACCUGCCUUCUACAAAGAUCAAAUACAGACAAGCUUCCAAGUGUCUUUGAAAGAGAUAGCAGCUUUUAAGUGAGUGAAGAAGUCAACUCACCCUAUGGAAAGCUGGGCCAAGCAGUGCUUCCUGAUGAAUAAAAACGGCUAAAUUGAUACAGAGUGGUGAUAGACAAUAAAAGUUAAAUUAGGUGUAUCACUGUUAUAUACUCAAUGUUGUGCUUCCUUCCCCCAUUCUUAUAUUGAAAUCUUAACUCCCAAUGUGAUGGCAUUUGAAGGUAGGGCCUUUAGGAAAUAAGUCCUUCCUCUGGGAAUUAAUUAGGAAUUUGUGUCCUAAUGAAAAGGGACCCCAGAAAGUGUUCUUAAUCUCUUUUCACCAUGUGAGGAUACCAGAAGUUGGCAGUCUGCAACCAACAACCACACAAGCACCACGAUCUCAGACUCCCAGCUUCCAGAGCUGUGAGAAAUAAAUUUGUGUUUAUAAGCUCACCAGUCUGUAUUCUAUUAUAGCAGCCGGAACUGACAAAGACAACCCUCUUACUGUAAUAAACUAAACAAUGAAAAACAUUAUUUGAGGGUGACUAACGGCUGUUCUUAUGGUUCAGAUGUUUAAUUCCAUAGGUUUGAAUGUGGAAAGCAUCACUUUCAAAACCGAAUGUCAGAAUAGUCAUCUUUAUUUUUAUCCUCGUAAAUGUACUCAUGAUAGCUUUACUCAGUUGUCCUUGCUUCUGGCUUAGCUUCCUCAGAUUCUGAGUACAUUAUUGUUCCCAUAUGAAUUAGAACAAAUACAUUCCAGUAAUAAAUACUUAUCUCAAAAGUAAAAUAAUUUUGGAAAAAGCAAUAGGCUUUUUUAAGUUCUUAUAAGCCAUGUAAAAAUAGAAAAGGAUGACCAGGUUAUGAUAAAGGAAAUUUCUAAAUUCUUAAGACCCAAACAGCUUUUGCUUACUUCGGGUUUCUGUUCUCAGGGAGUUGGGGAUUCUGUAAACCAGGACAUUUUGAUCCAUAAAUCUGAUCAGAAAGAAUAAUAUGCCCAGCCAGAGAUGGGUAAGAUUCCUCAAGGGAGGAACAGCCUAAGACAGGCACAGUCGCAGGGGGGUCAUCAGAUGAGAAAUUGGGGAUCAACAGAGGUGAGGCUUAGAACCUCCCCCCCCUGUUCUGAGAGAAAUCUUCUGCAUACGUGGAUGUUUUAUUGCCCUUGUCUAGCUUGGAUUAACACAUAGUCUACAGGCACACACCUCAUCAUCUACAUUUGCUCCCUUACAACACUAAACUAUGUUUUCUACCUUUAUCUUGUAUCUAUCUACCACUUCAGCAUUUUAUUAAAAAUAAUAAUAAUAAAGAGAGAAAUGUGGUAUCCACAUAUAAAUCAAGUAUAAAAAUCAAAUGAGUAUUCAUAUUUGAACUGACUGUUUAUAGUUCAUAAUGCAUGAGCAAAACCGAAAGUUUCUGUGAUGACUGCCCUUGUACUGUUCACUAUGUAACUUAUUCAUUAUGUAAGAAUUUGUUCUCCAUGUAAGAACUUGUUUGUUAUGCCUCAGAAGAUUGGAGACUGACAAAAAUUAGGCUUGGGGUGUAUUAAUGAUUGUGCAUUGAGCAUUGACUCCCCUAUACAGAAUUUUAUUGUUGUUAACAACCAUUUGAUCAAUAAAUAUGAGAGAUGCCCUCACAAAAGAAAAAAAAAAAAAGUACAGACUUCCAAUGGUAAAAUAAAUAAGUAACCGGGAUGUAAUGUAUAGCAUAAGGAAUAUAGUCAAGAUAUUGUUAACAGCUUAGUAGGGUGAUAGCUGGUACCUAGAAUUGCCAUGUAUAUAAAUGUUGAAUCACUGUGUUGUACACCUGAAACUAAUUACACAGUAAUGUAAUACUGUGCGUCAACUACCCUUCAAUAAAAAAUAAUUAUCUACAAAAAAAAAUAAUAAUAAUAAUAUGCCCAAUUCAAAGAGAAGUUUAUUUUGAAAGUUUCUUCUCAAACAAGAGCAAGAUCUUGGACUUGCAGGGAAUUCCAGGGCCUUGCCAUGCAUUAUGUUUGCAGCAAAUAUAAGGAAAAUGUAGUACUGAGUUUAAAUAUUAAAAUUUAACCCUGACCAAUUAAAUGUGUUUAAUAUUUGUCCUUCAGUAAAAGUAUUAUGGGUUCCUAUAUAAAAUGCAGAAAUAUCCCUAUUUCUAUGGAAGGAAACUUUAGGGUUUUUGUAAGUUAGAAAAUAAAUGUUGUAUAAGGAAUAUGGAGAAUAUUAAAAGGACAAAAAUAAAUACUCUAAUUCUAGCAUUCUGGAAUAACUAUUAACAUUUUAGAAUUUCUGUCAAUCUUUUGGCUAUCUGGUUUCUCUUGAAUAAAAGUGUAUAUUGUUCAUCUAUGUAAAAUAAAUAUUCAUUCUUAUUACAUUAUUUUUCACAGAAUUUCAUUAAGUCUAGCAUCAAUCAUAUUGUGCUCUUAUAUUUGGGUGAGUCAUUUUUGUCUUGCUGUUUUUAAGAUUUUCUUUGCUUUUCAGCAGUUUGAUUGUGAUGUAUCUAUGUCAGAAUUUCUUUAUAUUUGUCCUCUUUGGGAUUCAUUGAAGUUCUUGGAUUUCUAAAUUAAUGUUUUUCAUCAAAUUUGGGGGAGUUUUCAAUCAUUUCUUCAAAUAUUUUUUGCUUCUUUUUUUCUCUCUUCUCUUUCUAUGCCUCCCAUUGCGUGUGGGCUUACAUGCAGGCUGUGUUCAUUUUUCUGAAAUCUUUUUUUUAACCUAUGUUCUUAAGACUGGGUAGUUUCUACUGAUCUGUGUUCAAGUUUACUGAUUAUUUCUCCCACACUUUCAAAUCUGCUAUUAAGCCACUUUAAUAAAUUUAUCAUUACAGUUAUUAUAUAUUUCAAUUCCGGAAUUUCUAUUUACUUAUUUUUGAGUCUAUCACUUAUUUGUUGAGUCAUUGUCAUCAUACUUUCCUUUAAUUCUAUAAACACAGUUUUCUUUAGUUCUUCAAACUUAUCCAGAGCAGUUGCUUUGAGGUCCUGGUCUCCUCAGUCCAGCAUCUUGACCACUCAGAGAUAGUUUCCAUUGAUUGCUGUUGUUUUUCUUCAACAGUAUCGAUGAAACUUUCCUGUUUCUAUCAUGCCUCGUUUUUUAGUUUGUGGGUGUAUGUGGAUGAAGUGCACAGAGUACUCGGUGUGCCCGUGUGUCAGCUGGAGGGAUCCACAGAGUGGAUACAAAUGACUGACACACCCUAACAGAGGAGGAUUCACAGGAUGCAAUGAAGUCCCACUGAUCAGCAGCACCAAGAUCUUCAUAGUCAGUGUCGCUGGACUCCUCUUCUAAAGAUUGCUUCUUCAACAUCUUGAUUUGCUUAUGCACACUCUGCGAGACCAAAAACUCCAUCACAAAAAAGAGGAAAAGACAAAGCCAAUCACUUACCAAACUCCCAGGACAGGCCUCGUGAAGGGAUUCCCACAGCACUCAGCGGCACAGGCUUUGGAGAUAUUCCCGUGACCCUGGAAGUCUUCGGCCUGAUCAAGCCAGGAGAUCGCUCUAUAUAGAAGUUUGUUGGGGUCUUUGCUCAUCUUCAGUAUGGUGGGUACCAUACCCCAGAACCUCGUGCUCUCAGCCAUCUUGAAAUCUAGGAAAAUGAAAGCAAAGUAGCAUUAGGAAGAAAAAAGACUGUAUUUUAGUCCAUUUCUACAGUCCCUGCUGUUUGCUUAGUAGGUGUUCUCUGUGAGGGUCCCAGUUGUGUUAGUUCAAAGGAGAACUCCAACGGAAGUUUGAGAAAGUGUCCAAAAGAAAUAUGUCUGUUUAAUAAAAUUUCUCAUUCUUUCACUUACUCUUUUUCUAAUUUUCCCAUAUCAGUCUCUCCUCCCUAUGUCAUUUCCUUUCCCAGCCUCUUCCCACAGUUAAUUCAUUGAGCCCUGUGUGAAGCCAUCUGUCCCGUUUGCUCUCAUCACAAACUCUGUGUGAUUUACUUCUUUUUAUAAUCUAUGUACCAAACUGUGACAAUCUACCCACUCUAGCCAAGAGCACAGUUCCAGCUGUCAUAGAGUCCCCAGGGGGAUCUCAGUGUGUGUGCUUAAAGGUGAGUCUCCGCCACCCGUCUCCCGGAUGUCCCUGCCUGAGCCUGGGGAGCUGGACUGACUGGUCGACUGGGGCUCCUCCUGAACCCAACCUUUCUAAACCCCAUCGCCAGUCUCAAAUCUGUUUCUGAUUCACCAACCAAGAUGGAUGGAUGGAUAUGUAAUCGCCUUCUACUGGGGGAACAGCUUAAAUUUCUUAUUUGCAUUACAUUCUGCUGCACUUUUGAAAUUUUCACUGAUUCAUGGAUAUCUUGAGCAUAAACACAGUUCUAAUUAAAGAAAAUGAGUUUGAAUGUGUCAGGUUUUGCCUUUAGUUACAGCUCUGGUGGUGUGAAGAGUGCUUUCUUUUUCAGUAAGUGUACUGUGACUUCUGUGUUUUAUGUAAUUCACUUUCUCACUUAUGAACUAGAAACAAUUUAUUGUUAUAAUACUCUGACAGUCAAUACUUGCUCCAGCCUUCCCUACCAGGUGGCUGAAACAUUUGGGGGCCUGCCUCCUUUAUUCCGUCCAGUUUUAUCUCACAUAUUCCUGCCCUGCUUCCCUUCAAAGGUAUUAAUCCCUAAUAAAUAUUUUGUACCCUCAAUUCUGUCUCAACAUCUGCUUCUGGAAAAGGCAACUAGCAAUAAUCCUCUUCAGAUCUUUGGAGGCUGGGGAGAUAAGCCAUACAGAGAGCAGGGCUUUCCUUUCAUCUUUGGGGUCACAAUCCUGGAAAGCCAUGCAUUUCCUAGAACACACUAGGCUUAAUACUUGCCCUGGAACUCUCUGAAAAUAGUGUCAUUUAAUACAGAGAAGUUCAGGCUGGCAUCAGUGUUUUCUAUGCGGAUUCCUACAGAGCCUGAAGACUUACUGGUUCUGCUGAAGGCCUACUGGACUGCUGAUUCUAGCUGUUGCUCAGCUUAGGAGAGGGCAACAAACUGAAAUUAAAAUGGGAGGGGAGACAAGAUGCAUUUAUACUGAAAUAUUCCCAGUAUCCCCUCCUAACUUUUUAGGUUACUUGAAUUAUUUUUCUAGCUUCUUGAGUAGAUUUCCUAGUAUGCUUUGAACUUAUUUUUGUAGUGUAAAUAGAACAAAAGAGUACACAUUACAUUAUUCAGCUCCAUGAAUUCCAAAGAAUGAGCACACUCAAGUAAUUGUCCUCCAGAUCAAGAAUGGUAUCAAUGUCCCCAAAGCCCCAUUUGUACAUUUCUGAGUUACUGUUCUCCACGAUGUGUCCAAUAUCUAGACCUCCAACAAUAUACCUCACUUGCUUUGGAAAUGUAUAUAAAUGAAUCAUAAAGUAUAUAAAAUUUUGUGUCUGGAUUGUUUGAUUUUUAUAUAUUUUUUGUUAGCUCUAUCUAUAAUAAAUUGUUGAGUUAUCACUGUGGUUUUCAUUCUCUUUGCUAUGUAGUAUUCCAUUGUGUGAAUACACCACAUUUUAAAAAUUCAGUUUAAUUUUCAGUUUGGGACUGUUAUGAAGAGUGCCAUUAUGACAGCUUGGUGCAUGUCUUUUGAUUUAUUAGUUACACUACCACAAGUGUGAGAGAUCUAUUUAUUACACAUCCUCACCAACAGCUGGUAAAUGUUUUCCAUUGUAGCUCUUCUGGUAGGUAUGUAAUUGCAUUGCACUGUGGAUUUAAUUUGCAUUUCCUUGCUGAUUAAUGAAGUUGAGCAAACUUCAAAUGUU
This is a long non-coding RNA of Manis pentadactyla (Chinese pangolin), 5884 nucleotides long. RefSeq lists it as uncharacterized. NCBI's taxonomy places the organism in Eukaryota, Metazoa, Chordata, Mammalia, Pholidota, Manidae. The transcript has 5 exons. The record is from RefSeq and is a predicted model, not a curated record.